CUCAAUUCUAUCGAAUUUCUCAUAUUGAAAUCAUAACUAAAAUAUAUAAAGUACUGUACUGACUGUAAUAAAUGUUUGAAAGCUCUAAAAAUGUUUCAAGUACCUUAUGUACAUGGGUUUGAUAUUACUUUAAGAUGCAUCAAUUGAUUAGCCAAUAGACAAAUUCUGUAGAGAACUUAGAAGGUGGUGUUGUAUUGUGGAAUGAAAUAUGUAUCAUGUUUUAAAUAAUCUAUUAAAUUAUUCAUAAGUACCUUAUGUAUAUGGGUUUAAGAUGCAUCAAUUGUGUAUUUUAUAAUUUCAAUAUUUCGAAU
RNAcentral lists this long non-coding RNA (311 nucleotides) under Carica papaya (papaya). Its description in RNAcentral is "long non-coding RNA (CPAP_LNC003409)". Lineage: Eukaryota; Viridiplantae; Streptophyta; Magnoliopsida; Brassicales; Caricaceae. The record is from RNAcentral.